UACGGGGGGGGCAAGCGUUGUUCGGAAUUACUGGGCGUAAAGGGCUCGUAGGCGGCCAACUAAGUCAGACGUGAAAUCCCUCAGCUUAACUGGGGAACUGCGUCUGAUACUGGAUGGCUUGGAUUCGGGAGAGGAAUGCGGAAUUCCAGGUGUAGCGGUGAAAUGCGUAGAUAUCUGGAGGAACACCUGCGGCGAAGGCGGGUUGCUGGGCUGACACUGACGCUGAUGCGCGAAAGCCAGGGGAGCGAACGGG
This 253-nucleotide ribosomal RNA is filed under the name uncultured bacterium. RNAcentral describes it as "partial 16S ribosomal RNA". It matches the Rfam family "Bacterial small subunit ribosomal RNA", at positions 524 to 776 of the family's 1533-position model. The record is from RNAcentral.